CGUUGGGACCCAGUACGCAGGCCCGCCGAGCGGCCAAUGAAGGCGGGAGGCCCGCGGUGUAGAGACGGUCAGCCCCGGAGCCGCGUCCCGCACUCGGACAUCCCGGACACAAUUUCCUGACUCCAAGGUAGCAAGCUGGUGUUCAAACAAAGUAUGAUAACCGUGCCUAUCUGAAGAGCGAGACCUCACAGACAUAGACAUGUCUAUUACGAAACCCUGUUAUUAGUAGUUCCCCUCUGAUAUGUGUGAGAUUUUUUUUUCAUCCUUCUUGGGAUUAUAAUGUUUUACAAAGAGGAACUUGAAGUACUUACUGAUGAAGAUCAAAGACUAUAGCCUUCAGUAUGAAUUGCACCUCAACAUAAAGAAAAAAAAUACAACCAGACCAAUAAGCAAUAUCAUGGUAAACGGAGAAAAUAUUGAAGUUAUCAAGAACUUCAUUUUACUUGGCUCUACAAUCAACACCCAUGGAAGCAGAAAUCAAGAAAUCAGAUGAUGUAUUGCAUUGGGCAAAUCAGCGGCAAAAGACAUAUUUAAAGUGUUGAAAAGCAAAGAUAUCGCUUUGAGGACUAAGGUGUGCCUGAACAAAACCAUGAUGUUUUCAAUUGCGUCAUAUACAUGUAAAAGCUGGACAAUGAACAAGGAAGAUCAAGGAAGAAUUGACACCUUAGAAAUAUGGUGUUGACAAAGAACAUUGAAUAUACAUGAACUGCCAGAAGGAUGAACAAAUCUGUCUUGGAAGAAGUACAAUCAGAGUGUUCCUUAGAAGCAAAGAUGGCGAGACUUCAUCUCACAUACUUUGGAUAUGUUAUCGGAGGGACAAGUCUCUGGAGAAGGACAUCAUGCUUGGGGAAUGAAGAAUGAAAAGGAUGUAUGUCUGGAUGGUCACAGUGACCCCACUUGUGACCUACCGCACCAAACUGAAAGCAAAUCAGUGUGUGCAGUCCCCAUUGCAAGCCCUGAGCUGACUGGAGGUUGGAAGGAGACCUGAUCAAGAUGAGGAACUCACUUUUAUCUUCUUGCUUUCUGGGCUUGUACUUUAAAAAAUGAGACAUACAGACAUCUCUUUUGGUUCUCUAAAUCUUCCUUGCCCCGUCUAGUCUGUUUCCCUGCACUAAGAUGGCCAGUAUGGUCGCCUUCUUCUCCACCUUAGCCUAUAUUAGCACUACAGAUAGUAAAGAUUCAGGCAGCAUAUGGGACACAUGAUACAGCCUAAUAUGUCAGUAACUAGUGAAAAUAAAUUUCUCCUUCUACCUGUUCAUAAUCUGGAAGCUGUGCUGUUUUCCCCCUGGUGGAAGUAAAACCAUCUUCAUUCUUAGCACGUGGUAAUAAGGAUUCUCCCUAGUUUUAAGGAUCAUGAUGGUGUUUGUGUUUGGAUGGGUGGGGAAAGGGAAAGACAAAUUGUUUUUCCAGGUACUUGAGAAUUCGGAAGAGAUAUUAAUAUCUGCAUAAAUAUUUAUGUACAGAGAUGUUUAUCAUUAUGUUACUGACAAGAUUUGGAAAAUUGUAAACAAUAGAAAUAUUGAAAAAUGUUUACAAAAAAAAUCAAACCCACUGCCAUCGAGUGAAUUCUGCAUCAUAGCCGCCCUAUAAGACAGAGUAGAAAUGUCCCAUAGGGUUUCCAAGGCUGUAAAAUCUCUAUGGAAGCAGACAGCCACAUCUUUGUCCUGCAGAGCACCUGGUGGGGUUCAUAUCUCAAAUCACUAACCUUUUAUUUGGCAGCUGAGCAUGUUAACCACUGUGCCACCAGGGCUGUAUGUUAAAAAUAGUUAACAUCUAAUUAGUUGGAUUGUGAGCAUUUCUUCUAAUAUGCGUUUUUAAUGAAUUCCCUAUAAUUAAUAUGGGUGAUUAUUUUUGGAAUCUCUAAAAUUAAUUUUAUUUCUUUAAGUAGCAAAGCCACUGAAUAAAGUCAAAUAUUUUUAAAAAUCAGUUUUAUCCAUUUAUUUGAUAGCAAAUAUGAUGUUACUCCCUUGCUGUAAAAUCUUUCACUGACUUCCUAUUAACUUUAAAGUCUAAAUUCUAAUAUAUAUACAAUGAUUUUUAUAAUCUGAUCAUAUCUAAAUGGCAACCUCACUUUCUAUCUAGUUUUCCUUUCCUCCUUGCACUCUCAGAUUACCAAUUUAUUUGUUAUUCCUCCAGAACAGAAUCUAUCACAUGUUAGUGUCUUUGGAUAUGCUGCCCCCAUCCUCUGGAAUGCAAUUCACUCUAUUUUCAUCUGUCAAAAUUCCUCUGCAGAAAGCCUGUCUGCCCUGAUUCCCACAAGAUACACAGGCUGUGUUUCUUUUGUGCUCUAAUUGUAGAUGGUGAAUACCAUGCUAUUACUCCUGGAACAGUGCUUUCUGAGUUUCCUGAGGGUCAAAGGUGUGCUUCUGAUUUCUGUAUGUUACUCUUCACAACGUGUGCUGGGUUCACAGAAGGAACUCAAUAAUUGGAGGAAGAGGAAUUACAAAUCAAAGAGUGGAAGAAGUAGACAUAAUUCAGUAUAUUUCAAAUUUUUCAAAUGUUAAUAUAAAAAUUACACAUAGAUCAAAAUUGAAUACAAAAAAUCAACAUAUCAAUAUAAUAAUGUCAAGCAUAAAAUGAUAUAUAAUAUAGCUCACAUGAGAUAAAACUAAGAGUUCACUAUUAGUUUUUUUUUUCUUAAACAGUGGAUGCUAUGGUACCAUUUUACAUCUAUUCCAUUAGCAAAAUAAUAUUAAACAAUCAAAAUACGUAUUAACAAGGCUGCAGAAAUCCUGCAACAUUCAUAAAUCAUGGAAGCAUUUCUUUAUUCAUGCUUUUAUUAUCUAGUCUGUGUUAUGCGUAGUGACAGGAACUGGGGAUACAAAUUGAAUAAGAUAUUGGCCAUGCCCUCAAGGAGAUUAUUGCAAUGAUACAUGCACAGACAGAUUUUAGGAGAUAACUCAAGAGUGAUAUUUAUGUCAAAAUAGGGGCUACAUCAGGAAAAAAAUUCCAAUGAGAAGAGAAACCUUAAAUUAAUAUUUAAACCAAGAAUAAGGCAGGGAAAAAGUGAGCAAGGUUAAUGAAAGCACAAAAUAAUAAAGUGGAAUGACUCACUCAAGGGCUUAAAUAUUGGUGCAUCAUUUAGAAAAGUAGAUUUAAAAAAGAAUAAUAAUAAAUAUGUUCAUACACUUUGACUCAAUGAGUUUUGUGUUUGGAAAAUUAUGGUGCUAAAACAUUCCAAAGGACAAAAUAUAAUGCCAGUUCAUUUCUAAAGCUAAAGGAAAAGGAAAUAGCUUAAAAGUCCAGAAUUGGGUAACUUAUUAGGUAAAUGAUAGCAUAUUGAUUUACCACAUUAUUAUGUGGUUCUCAAUAUUAUUGAGUAUUAAAAUUAUAUAGCAGCAUGGGAAAAGUUUAUAAAAUGAGGUAGGGGAACAAUGAAAUGCUACAUUUAUGUUACCAGGUUGUGAAUACUGUUUGUUAUUUUUUUCUAGAAGACUUACAGCCUCACUUUUUAUAAAAUGCUUAGACUAUGAUCCAUUUCAAAUUAAUUUAUGUUUAGCAUAUGGGAUAAAAUUUGAGGUUAACUUUGUUUCCAUAUGGGUUUUGUGUUGUUCCAGCAAAAUUUGUUGAAGAGUUUUCUUUUCCUACUGAACUGCUGUGAGGUUUUGGUGAAAAAUCAAUUGACUAUAGAUGAAUGGGCCUCUCUUGGACCUUCUAUUCUAUUUCACUGACCUAGUUGUCUAUCCUUAUGCCACUUCCACACUGCAUUGUACAUGGCUGCUUUAUAGAGAAUCUUCUAGUUUUGUUAAAUUUACCUAUUUGACUUUGUAGUUGCUUUGUACAUGCCUUAAAAGUUUCUUUGCAGAAAAUCAUGUCAUCUGCAAAAGCAAAGUUUUACAUAUUCCUUUCCAAUUUUAUACACCUCCCCUUUUUAUUGCCCUACUACACUUGCAGGAGCCCUGGUGGGACAGUGGUUAAUGGCUAAGCUGCUAACUGAAAGGUCAGCGGUUCGAAUCCAUCAGCCACACCAUGGGAGUAAGAUGAUGCAGGCUGCUCCUAUAAAAAUGUACAGCCUUGGACAUGCUAUGGAGCAGUUCUACUCUGUCCUAUAGGGUCAAUAUGAGUCAGAAUUGACUCUAUGGCAACUGGAAAUGGGGCUGCAUUUGCAAGGGUCUCUGGUACAAUUUUGGAUAAAGUUAGCAAUACAAAAAAGAAAACAUUAAUCUUAAGGGAACGUCAUUCAAUAUUUUGCCAUAAAAAAUUAUGCUAUUUUCCUGCCUCUAUUGAGAUGAUCACUUGUUUUUCUCUCCUUAUUCUGUUUAAAUGUUGAUUUAUUAAUUUUCAAAUGUUAACCAAAUUGUAUUAGUGAGAUAAACUCGACUUUGUCAUGUUGUAUUGCUCUUUUUGUAUAUUAUAGGAUUCUAGUUGCUAAUAUUUUGUUAAAGAUGCAGUGUCUUAAUUUUUAUUUCUUGUCAUAUCUUUGUCAAGUUUUAGGAUCAGAUUUAUACUCCUCUCAUAAAAAGAAUUGCUAUGUAUUCCUUCCUACUCUAUUUUGUAAAAGAGUGUUUAUAUUUGACUUUAUUUUUUCUUAAAAUUUUUAUAAAACCAUCUGGACCUUGAGUUUCCUUUACAGCAAGUUUUUGAUUACAUAUUCAAUUUAUUUUAUGGUCCAAGAGCUAACGUGAUUUUCUCUUUCAACUUGUGUCAGUUUUAGAAAUGUAUGCUUUU
This is a long non-coding RNA of Loxodonta africana (African savanna elephant), 4668 nucleotides long. RefSeq lists it as uncharacterized. The transcript has 4 exons. The record is from RefSeq and is a predicted model, not a curated record. Lineage: Eukaryota; Metazoa; Chordata; Mammalia; Proboscidea; Elephantidae.